RNAcentral lists this ribosomal RNA (651 nucleotides) under uncultured Rhizophagus. Its description in RNAcentral is "SSU rRNA". It matches the Rfam family "Eukaryotic small subunit ribosomal RNA", at positions 624 to 1276 of the family's 1831-position model. Lineage: Eukaryota; Fungi; Glomeromycota; Glomeromycetes; Glomerales; Glomeraceae. The record is from RNAcentral.
AAGCUCGUAGUUGAAUUUCGGGGUCAGUAGGUUGGUCAUGCCACUGGUAUGUACUGGUCUCACUGAUUCCUCCUUCCUGAUGAGCCGUAAUGCCAUUAAUUUGGUGUUGCGAGGAAUCUGGACUGUUACUUUGAAAAAAUUAGAGUGUCUAAAGCAGGCUAACGCUUGAAUACAUUAGCAUGGAAUAAUGAAAUAGGACGUUCGAUCUUAUUUUGUUGGUUUCUAAGAUUGACGUAAUGAUUAAUAGGGAUAGUUGGGGGCAUUAGUAUUCAAUUGUCAGAGGUGAAAUUCUUGGAUUUAUUGAAGACUAACUACUGCGAAAGCAUUUGCCAAGGAUGUUUUCAUUAAUCAAGAACGAAAGUUAGGGGAUCGAAGACGAUCAGAUACCGUCGUAGUCUUAACCAUAAACUAUGCCGACUAGGGAUCGGAUGAUGUUAAUUUUUUAAUGACUCAUUCGGCGCCUUACGGGAAACCAAAGUGUUUGGGUUCCGGGGGGAGUAUGGUCGCAAGGCUGAAACUUAAAGGAAUUGACGGAAGGGCACCACCAGGGGUGGAGCCUGCGGCUUAAUUUGACUCAACACGGGGAAACUCACCAGGUCCAGACAUAGUAAGGAUUGACAGACUGAGAGCUCUUUCUUGAUUCUAUGGGUG